This 301-nucleotide ribosomal RNA is filed under the name uncultured bacterium. Its description in RNAcentral is "partial 16S ribosomal RNA". It matches the Rfam family "Bacterial small subunit ribosomal RNA", at positions 509 to 808 of the family's 1533-position model. The record is from RNAcentral.
CAGUAGCCGCGGUAAUACGUAGGUGGCAAGCGUUGUCCGGAAUUAUUGGGCGUAAAGGGCUCGCAGGCGGUUUCUUAAGUCUGAUGUGAAAGCCCCCGGCUCAACCGGGGAGGGUCAUUGGAAACUGGGAAACUUGAGUGCAGAAGAGGAGAGUGGAAUUCCACGUGUAGCGGUGAAAUGCGUAGAGAUGUGGAGGAACACCAGUGGCGAAGGCGACUCUCUGGUCUGUAACUGACGCUGAGGAGCGAAAGCGUGGGGAGCGAACAGGAUUAGAUACCCCCGUAGUCCCCUGUCUCUUAUA